CCGCCUCCUGCAGCCGGUACCCUCUGAGACGAGGCAGCUCCUUCACAUUCCUGACUCCAGGCCCACACUGGGAUUUCACCCUGAAGAGGAAGCGCCGAGAGAAGGACGACGACGCCGUCAGCCUG
Lonchura striata (white-rumped munia) is the source of this 125-nucleotide non-coding RNA. Lineage: Eukaryota; Metazoa; Chordata; Aves; Passeriformes; Estrildidae. The record is from RefSeq and is a predicted model, not a curated record.